Molecule: ribosomal RNA, 253 nt
Filed under: uncultured bacterium
Lineage: Bacteria
Description: partial 16S ribosomal RNA
Rfam family: Bacterial small subunit ribosomal RNA
Source: RNAcentral
UACGUAGGGAGCAAGCGUUGUCCGGAAUCAUUGGGCGUAAAGCGCGCGUAGGUGGCCCUGUAAGUCCGCUGUGAAAGUCAAAGGCUCAACCUUUGAAAGCCGGUGGAUACUGCAGGGCUAGAGUACGGAAGAGGCGAGUGGAAUUCCUGGUGUAGCGGUGAAAUGCGCAGAUAUCAGGAGGAACACCGGUGGCGAAGGCGGUUCUCUGGGAAUAUCCUGACGCUGAGGAGCGAAAGUGUGGGGAGCGAACAGG